This 351-nucleotide ribosomal RNA is filed under the name uncultured bacterium. RNAcentral's name for it is "bacterial SSU rRNA". It matches the Rfam family "Bacterial small subunit ribosomal RNA", at positions 372 to 740 of the family's 1533-position model. The record is from RNAcentral.
UGGGCGAAAGCCUGAUCCAGCAACGCCGCGUGAGUGAUGAAGGCCCUAGGGUUGUAAAGCUCUUUUACCCGGGAUGAUAAUGACAGUACCGGGAGAAUAAGCUCCGGCUAACUUCGUGCCAGCAGCCGCGGUAAUACGAGGGGAGCUAGCGUUGUCCGGAAUCACUGGGCGUAAAGGGCGCGUAGGCGGCUGGGUAAGCGUGUGGUGAAAGCCCGGGGCUCAACCCCGGGUCGGCCAUGCGAACUGUCCAGCUGGAGCACGGGAGGGNCCCAUGGAAUUCCGGGUGUGGCGGUGGAAUGCGUAGAGAGCCGAAAGAACACCGGUGGCAAAGGCGGUGUGCUGGGCCGUGGC